GGAAAGGUGCCAGAGUGGCUGAAUGGGCUCCCCUGCUAAGGGAGUGUCUUCUUUCGAGGACCGUGGGUUCGAAUCCCAUCCUUUCCGCCA
RNAcentral lists this transfer RNA (90 nucleotides) under Candidatus Gracilibacteria bacterium GN02-872. RNAcentral's name for it is "tRNA-Ser". It matches the Rfam family "tRNA". Rfam says of the family: Transfer RNA (tRNA) molecules are approximately 80 nucleotides in length. Their secondary structure includes four short double-helical elements and three loops (D, anti-codon, and T loops). Lineage: Bacteria; Candidatus Altimarinota. The record is from RNAcentral.